Rhododendron vialii is the source of this 1304-nucleotide long non-coding RNA. RefSeq lists it as uncharacterized. The transcript is spliced from 2 exons. NCBI's taxonomy places the organism in Eukaryota, Viridiplantae, Streptophyta, Magnoliopsida, Ericales, Ericaceae. The record is from RefSeq and is a predicted model, not a curated record.
GCAUGUCUAAGUCGCUCUACGUACUAGUCUUCUGUAAGUAAGUGUCUUUGUAUCCUAUUGAGAAUUAGGAACAGUGAAACAAAAUGAUUAAAUCCUUUAAAAUUGCCAUACUUUCCUUCAUGAGAUUGAGUUGGUAACUUGGUAUAUGUGUUCCUGAAAUUUGGAGAUGCAAUGACAUGGCUUGAUGAUGUUAUUUGAUUAACAAGAACUCGUGUGAGAGUAUGAUAGAGUUUAAUGUCAUGUUGACGCUACGCUAUGAAGAAUGUUGAACUUAGGAUUAAUCCUUGAAAGGAACGCUUGGUUAUGAGGAAACAUGAUGGAGUUGUUCUAAUGUGAGAAUUUGAGCCACAAGGGAAGAGAAAGAGGACUCUAUAUGUGGAUAACGAGAGAUGAAAUGGAGGGAAGUAUUCGGACUUGAUUUUAUUGUGAUCGGUGUAGGUUUCUUGAAUCUAGAUUUCAUGGUGGUUAACUUAUUGAACCUUCCCUGAUGUUGUGCUAUUUGUUGUGACGGUUGUGUUGUGUAAUUCGGUUGUUUCACGACUUGUUGACUUGGUUAUGAAUUUCGAGGACGAAAUUUCUUUUAAGGAGGGUAGGAUGUAGAGACCCAUAAUUAGUUUUUCAAAUUUUAAAUGUUUAAUAUGUAUUUGGAUUAUCAAAGUUGGGAUAACAAUGUAGAUAUGAGUUGGGUCAAUGUGAGAUGACUUGUAAGUUGUGGGAGUUGACGUAAUACAAUAGGAGUGAAAGGGUGUAAGUGUUAUUUGUGCUAUAUAAGUCAAAAAAAAUGGGGCAGGAAACCAUUUUUUUUUCACUUUCCCUUUUCUUUUUUUUUUCUCUUCUUUGGCGUCUCUCUCUCUCUCUCGGCUCUCACCUCUCUCACCUUCUCUCUUCGAUUUCAUCGACCACGAGUGAGACUUUUGAAAAAUCCCAAGUACUAAAGUUGUUUUACGCGACGAGAGCUUCCUAUCCAUCGAAGAAAAUUCACGAUCGGAGCACUUCGAAGUUUCCUCCAUAUUCGGGCUUGCUUCUAACCCUCGAGGUACUUGUCAUGACACUUAGCUUGGAUUGCAUGGAGUGCACAUUGAGACGUCUCUUGAGCGCUUCAUUGGAACCUUUAAGGAGUGGUUUAUCAUCAAGUUUGAUUCAUGUCAUGUACUUUACUUGCAAUUGAAGGUUGUAUCUUUUGAUUAGAUCAUAUGUAAAGCUAUGUACAAACUCCUCUCCUUGAUGAUUAUGAAACCCAUUUAAGUGUAAACGUUUGGGAGACUUUAUGUAAAAAAAAAAAAAAAAAAAUUUAGAGAGAAGAA